GCCCAUGUAGCUCAGGUGGUAGAGCGCAUCCUUGGUAAGGAUGAGGUCACCGGUUCGAAUCCGAUCAUGGGCUCCA
Molecule: transfer RNA, 76 nt
Filed under: Desulfobulbaceae bacterium
Lineage: Bacteria; Pseudomonadati; Thermodesulfobacteriota; Desulfobulbia; Desulfobulbales; Desulfobulbaceae
Description: tRNA-Thr
Rfam family: tRNA
About the family: Transfer RNA (tRNA) molecules are approximately 80 nucleotides in length. Their secondary structure includes four short double-helical elements and three loops (D, anti-codon, and T loops).
Source: RNAcentral